GCCCAGCGGCCUUUGGCUGGAUCUCACCGGGCGGUUGGCGCCGUUAGUCUCGCGGAGUCGAGCCUGUCGGUGUUCCUGGUUCUGAACGCCCGCCCUAUCGCCAUACAGUGGAUAAACCGCUCUCUGGUUAGGGUGGGACAGACUGCAAGGAGACCCCGCCUGGCCCGGCCUCCGGGUAGAGGGCACUGCUCAGGGCGCAGGAACCUGUUGAAGCCACGGCAGCAAGCCAGUGAAGAAACUGCUAGGACCCCCAGGCGAGGAUGUAGGCAGGUGGAGAACGAGCCGGUUCAUCCAUGAAACUGUCCCAAGGGCUUACCGAGCCUGUGCACUUCUAAAUUGCACAGCGAACCCGAGGUGGAGACUUGGGGAGAGUACCAUACAAGCUGCCAGGAGGCUGGGACCUGGGGCCUGCUCUGAAGUCUAGCUUCCUUCUGAAAUAUCCAGGAAGGUAAUAAGGGGAUCCCGUGCCCAUCCGAGGCUCCUCCUUCAGCUCACGCUCAGAGGUCUGCGAAGGAUAAAUAGUUCUCCACUUUUGUCUGAAUUGUUCAAGGCCACGGAGCAACUCGUUAGAAUCGGAGCCACAGUCAGGAGAUCCAUCUACACCUCAGCUGCUGUAUGGAUGAAACCUCUUUUCUUGUCGUCUUGCCUACAGUUCCUUUUCUCUCCUAGGAUGGUUGUGGCACCUUGGAGACAGACCCAGGAGCCAAAGUCAUAGAACAGACCAGGGUCUGGCCACCUGUGGACCUCCUGUCCAUGCCCAUAACCAAAGACCACCAGGAACAAAGUUGGAUUUACUGAUUUGUUGCCGACGACGUACGGGUAUAGCCGAGGAGUCCUGGGGCGUCUCAGUACGAAGGUGUUACAAGGGACUUAGAACUUGUGUUAAAAACCGUAGCGGGGGGGGGUGGAGUUUCAAGGAAGCGGGGGUUCAUUCUGGACUGCAUGCUUUCAGGAAGCAAGAUCCAUUCUGUGAUUGAGCAUCUCAAUUUUCAUAGAGAAGCUGAGACAAAGGCAGAGCUAAAACUGCGGUUGGUAACCAGACAGCCAUCGCUGGGGGGCGGGGGAUGUUGGGUGGUUUUUGUGGUUUGCACAGUGGCCUUCAUUUUGUCUGUGCUUGGACACAAGGGUGGAAUAGUCCUGUUUGGUCAGGCCUUGUCUGAUGGUGGCUAUCCAAGAGACUGGCUCUGUUCAGGCCUAGCUGUGAGCACCUGGCUGAUCAGAGCUAGCUGCCAGGGACUACUUUUCUCUUUCUCACCGCAAAGGCAAAGCCUUGACCUUCAAGGGCCAGCCUUCUGUCCAUCCUAGUCUCAUAUUUUCAUGUUGGGAUAAGGAUCAUCACACUGGAAAAGGAAGAGGGAUGGACAAGAACAGGGAGGGGGAGUUUCCUGGGGGUGGGGGUGAAAUAGCAGCCUAGCUUAGGGUGUUCAUGGCUCUGUGACUUGAACGGAUCCAGGGUUCCCUUCCUCUAUUGGAGGAAGCUCUGAUAAAGAGGUGGGGGGAGGGCAGUAAAUGGCCAUUCUUAGUACAGAUAGUCCUCACUUAGAAACACGAUCCAUUCUCUUAGGAAACCUAGGUGGAGUGAUCAUACGUCCCAAUUUUCUGGUACAUUCCUGCUCUCAAGUGUUACAACUACUCGAUUACUGUGGAUAUAGUUUUGCUACAUAUUUUAUAGAAUUCAGAUUGUGUAGUGAAGGGAAUCCAUUACUUGUCUGACCCUAUGAGGAGCAGACAGCAAAAUGGAAUUAGAAGUGCAAGAGAUUUAUUAGGGGGAACACCUGUGAGGGAUCAAGGGUUUGAGGGAGCAGGAGCCGGCAGGGGGAGCCCUCUGCAGUUCGGCAAGGGGGUGGGGGGUGGAGGGGACGCUUGUGCGGGCUGACCCGGGGAGAGAGGGACUGGGUAGGGAGAACCACGGGCCGCAGUGCACUUCUGAGAAAAUCUUGGCCAAGCUGCUGGGGACUCCCUAUGUUUACCUGCCUCAUCAGAGGAGUCCCCUUAUUUAGCGGGACAGUGUGGCCUCGAUGCCCCUGUCCUGCUCAGUCAUUGCCCAGAGGCAGCGAGGGAAAGACUGGCCUCCUGUCCCUGGGGGGCAGCAGCCGAGGCUGGGGCUCUCUUGUAGACAUCUGGGCCACCCCCCCCCCCGGGGGGCCAUACAUUUCUUCAGUGGACGGUUCGCUUAUUUUGAGCCAUUGAACCAGUUUAAGUGCCCCCAGAAGCGGGCACCAAGAUGGGAUUAGACAUGCAAGAGAUUUAUUGAGGGGAAUGGCCGGCAGGAUGAAGGGGGGAAAGAGAAGAGAGGGAAAAAAAAAAAAAACACAAAACCCUACACAAAUGUGAUACAACCUGUGUACUACUGGUGAAGAAAUAAAUUCACAGAAGAGGGUUGUUUGUU
This is a long non-coding RNA of Panthera uncia (snow leopard), 2389 nucleotides long. RefSeq lists it as uncharacterized. NCBI's taxonomy places the organism in Eukaryota, Metazoa, Chordata, Mammalia, Carnivora, Felidae. The transcript has 3 exons. The record is from RefSeq and is a predicted model, not a curated record.